GUCUACGACCAUACCACCCUGAAAUCACCCAAUCUCAUCUGAUCUCAGAAGCUAAGCAGGGUUGGGCCUGGUUGGUACUUGGAUGGGAGAAAAGAUAUAUGAAAAUA
This 107-nucleotide ribosomal RNA is filed under the name Heterocephalus glaber (naked mole-rat). The record is from RNAcentral. Lineage: Eukaryota; Metazoa; Chordata; Mammalia; Rodentia; Bathyergidae.